AUUGAACGCUGGCGGCAUGCCUUACACAUGCAAGUCGAACGGCAGCGGACCUUCGGGUGCCGGCGAGUGGCGAACGGGUGAGUAAUAUAUCGGAACGUACCUUUCAGUGGGGGAUAACGUAGCGAAGUUACGCUAAUACCGCAUAUUCUGUGAGCAGGAAAGCAGGGGAUCGCAAGACCUUGCGCUGAUUGAGCGGCCGAUAUCAGAUUAGCUAGUUGGUGAGGUAAAGGCUCACCAAGGCGACGAUCUGUAGCGGGUCUGAGAGGAUGAUCCGCACACUGGAACUGAGACACGGUCCAGACCUCCGUACGGGAGGCAGCUAGGUGGGGAAUUUUGGACAAGUGGGCGCAAGCCUGAUCCAGCCAUGCCGCGUGAGUGAAGAAGG
RNAcentral lists this ribosomal RNA (385 nucleotides) under uncultured bacterium. RNAcentral's name for it is "bacterial SSU rRNA". It matches the Rfam family "Bacterial small subunit ribosomal RNA", at positions 30 to 414 of the family's 1533-position model. The record is from RNAcentral.